This 355-nucleotide transfer-messenger RNA is filed under the name Fidelibacterota bacterium. It matches the Rfam family "transfer-messenger RNA". From Rfam's summary of the family: Bacterial tmRNA, also known as 10Sa RNA or SsrA, is named for its dual tRNA and mRNA-like properties. Its role is to liberate the mRNA from a stalled ribosome. Lineage: Bacteria; Pseudomonadati; Fidelibacterota. The record is from RNAcentral.
GGGGGCGAAUGGAUUCGACGGGAUUGAAGGUGUAAUAAACGGCGUGCCGUGGUUUCUCGGGAGUCCACGUAAAACAAACCUGAGGUUGGAUAAGUGCCAACUACAACUACGCUGUUGCCUAAAUUAUAGGCAACCGUCCUUUCUGAUCUUGCCUGCGGGUCAGAAAAGGGCGUCAUUUAGCAGGCUAGUCCAUUGCCUUUUUUCGCCGGGUAAUGGGCGAAAUUUCAGGUGAAAUAGCCUUUCCGGAAUUUGCCCGUUGAUGAAGGAAAGGCGAAAACUUAACAAUGGGCUACGCACGUAGAGGUUUAUUCCACCUCUUUCUCGGACGAGGGUUCGAUUCCCUCCGCCUCCACAA